This is a non-coding RNA of Potamilus streckersoni, 79 nucleotides long. The record is from the annotation of a GenBank genome assembly. NCBI's taxonomy places the organism in Eukaryota, Metazoa, Mollusca, Bivalvia, Unionida, Unionidae.
GGUGGCCUAGUGGUUAGAGUGUUCGCCUCGGAUGCGGGAGGUUGUGUGUUCAAUCCCAGGUUUAGUCAUACCAAAGACU